UUAGGGAAGCUCCUGAAUCUAAGCUGCCAAGAAAAGCCGCUAUUGCUUUGUAUGUACCCGUACCGUAAACCGACACAGGUAGAUGAGGAGAAAAUCCUAAGGCCGACGGGAGAAGCGUUGCUAAGGAACUCGGCAAAAUGACCCCGUAACUUCGGGAGAAGGGGUACCAAGAAAGUGGUCACAGAAAAUAGGCCCAAGCGACUGUUUAGCAAAAACACAGGUCUCUGCAAAACCGUAAGGUGAAGUAUAGGGGCUGACGCCUGCCCGGUGCUGGAAGGUUAAGGGGAGAGGUUAGAGCAAUCGAAGCCUUGAACUUAAGCCCCAGUAAACGGCGGCCGUAACAAUAACGGUCCUAAGGUAGCGAAAUUCCUUGUCGGGUAAGUUCCGACCCGCACGAAAGGCGUAACGAUUUGGGCACUGUCUCGGCAACGCGCCCGGUGAAGUUGUAGUACCAGUGAAGAUGCUGGUUACCCGCGAUAGGACGGAAAGACCCCGUGGAGCUUUACUCUAGCUUGAUAUUGGGAUUCGGUAUUACAUGUACAGGAUAGGAGGGAGACUGAGAAGUCAUGACGUCAGUUGUGAUGGAGUCACCGUUGGGAUACCUCCCUUGUAGUACUGGAUUUCUAACCUAGCACCGUAAUCCGGUGUGGGGACACUGUCAGGUGGGGAGUUUGACUGGGGCGGUCGCCUCCGAAAGUGUAUCGGAGGCGCUCAAAGGUCACCUCAGAAUGGUCGGAAACCAUUCGUAGAGCGUAAAGGCAGAAGGUGGCUUGACUGCGACACCGACGGGUGGAGCAGGUACGAAAGUAGGACUUAGUGAUCCGGCGGUAUGAAUGUGGAAUUGCCGUCGCUCAACGGAUAAAAGCUACCCCGGGGAUAACAGGCUUAUCACUCCCAAGAGUUCACAUCGACGGAGUGGUUUGGCACCUCGAUGUCGGCUCAUCGCAUCCUGGGGCUGUAUUAGGUCCCAAGGGUUGGGCUGUUCGCCCAUUAAAGCGGUACGCGAGCUGGGUUCAGAACGUCGUGAGACAGUUCGGUCCCUAUCCGUCGUGGGCGCAGGAUAUUUGAGUGGAGCUGUCCUUAGUACGAGAGGACCGGGAUGGACGAACCUCUGGUGUAUCUGUUGUCUUACCAAAGGCAUAGCAGAGUAGCCAUGUUUGGAAGGGAUAAACGCUGAAGGCAUCUAAGCGUGAAGCCCCCCACAAGAUAAGAUAUCCCAUCCGUAAGGAGGAAGACCCCUUGUAGGCGACAAGGUAGAUAGGUUGGAGGUGUAAGCACGGCAACGUGUUCAGCUGACCAAUACUAAUGGUCGAGGGUUUGACAU
RNAcentral lists this ribosomal RNA (1324 nucleotides) under metagenome. Its description in RNAcentral is "bacterial LSU rRNA". It matches the Rfam family "Bacterial large subunit ribosomal RNA", at positions 1582 to 2925 of the family's 2925-position model. The record is from RNAcentral.